AAAUAGUAUACAUGUAUCGGUGGUGUAAUUAUUCGAUUUUUUAUUUUAGUCUUUUUAAAAAAAAUAAAUAGUUUUUAAUUUGUAAUAUUUAAUUUUUAUCCUUAGUUUCAAUUGUUGCUUAGUUGUCAGUAGCUGUUGUUUCAUUCUCCCAUCAGAUGUCACGUGAAAUGGAAGAUGGCCUACACGAAGAAAACUGGACAGAUGACGUCUGAGGCAGCAAAGGAAAUAGCUGACAGGAUUGUAAGUCAUUUUUAAUUAAUAAUUGUAAUUAUCUUUAUGUAUUUUGUGAAUUCCUUGGACAAAUAUGUGUUCGGUACAAGAUUCUUUGGACGAGCAGGCGUCACAGGGAUCGUUCGUCCCCUAUGGACGUCAGGAUAUCCUGACUGCUGCCAUUGGGCGACUAGAGCACUCUGGUCGUGUUCGUGAUAUUGGAGCCGGUGUCACCAUAAAGCAAUACUUUGGAUCGGCUUUACGAACAUCCUGCAGUUCUUCCUCCAUGCCUCCUGAAGACCUAGAACAGCUGAUCCAACAAAUCAGAGACCAACUGGAGGAGUCAAUCACAGAAAAAAUGACUCGAAAGAUGAUGACAUCCUUCAGCCAGAUGCAGUCCCAGUUUUAGUCUCAGAUGCAAUCACAAGGACUUGCACUACCUCCAGAGCCAGAGGUUGGUCCCUCAGGUCCUCGUGUCAGCACAAAGGAGAGUUGUGUUGCUCCCUUAGGGAACGAUUCAGGGAUAAGUGACUCAGACAAAUGCGGGCUAUACAUUGAAGAAAAUCCUUCCCGCCUGGUUGCCUUAGGAAGACUUUAUGAGGGAUCCACAACAUUUCACAACAUCCCUUUGUUGCAUGGCCAAGUCAAGGUUGGUGUUGAGGAGGUUAAAGAUGCAGAGGCUCUCGUUCUUGUACCCACUGACGAGGUUACCUUAGUGGGGCAAGCACUUAACACCUUCCUUGUUUAGCCAACACAUCUUGUGAAGCGUUUAUCAGAACAGGCAGCUGUGUCUACAACAAAAUCUCCAGAAAGCCCGGAUGAAGAGGUCGAUGAUCCCCUGUACCUGAUGACAUUGAUCAUCCCACAACUGUUUUUGAAGCCUCUCCAGGUUAUGUGGGAUGCUACCAUAUUCGGGGUGUUUAAUCAAAACUUCCUGUUGUAUAUAAAGCACGAAGAUCUCUCUGAAAUUACAUACGGUGGUCAAUGUCUCAGCAUAUCUGUUAUACAGUUGUGGAUUCUGUAAGUCAUUUUAGAUUACUGUUAAUUACCAAAGUAAUUGUUUUAAAUUCAUACAUAAUUAACUUUGGCUUAACAACACAACCAUCUAACUGAGACAAGUGUGCGAGCGGGGAAUUCUGAUGUGUAUAGAUUCCUUGAGCCAUGGUCCAUUCAGAGAUCUGGGCAAUCACAAUUUGAAUCCGAAAGUUACAUCAAGAGUUGGAUACAGAGUUCAAAACGAAAUGUUUACCUUGGAGCCUACCUGAAUGGCGGACACUGACAAAUGGUCGUCAUUCUGCCUAAGGAAAACCUAGUUGUCUGAUUUUGUUCUUUACAUAAUAGGCUAGACAACUACCUUAAGGGAAUAAUUGACAGGUCAGUAUUGUUUACAAUACAUUUUCAUUGGCAUAACUCAACAACAUCAAUAUUUUAAUGUUCCUCAUAUUCAAUAC
Molecule: long non-coding RNA, 1661 nt
Organism: Glycine soja
Lineage: Eukaryota; Viridiplantae; Streptophyta; Magnoliopsida; Fabales; Fabaceae
Exons: 3
Source: RefSeq, a predicted model, not a curated record